Molecule: non-coding RNA, 256 nt
Organism: Coturnix japonica (Japanese quail)
Lineage: Eukaryota; Metazoa; Chordata; Aves; Galliformes; Phasianidae
Source: RefSeq, a predicted model, not a curated record
GUCAUGGGCUGCAGGAUAAGGGUGAAGUUGGACAAAGAACUUUGUUUCUGGGGCACUGUCUCUACCAAGAGCUCAAGCAGAUAGGAUGGGAAAGGAUCCUGCAGAAUUCAGCCUCUGCUCCCAGCAUGUUUCCCUAAGCAAGCGCUGCUGUGCACUUCACAUCAGAGAAACUUUGCCCAGUGACUGUAAUCAGAGGGGGAUGUUGGUGGCUUCAGUCUCCAAUAGAAAUCUAUUGAGUUCUGCCAGGUUUGCCAUG